RNAcentral lists this ribosomal RNA (306 nucleotides) under uncultured bacterium. Its description in RNAcentral is "partial 16S ribosomal RNA". It matches the Rfam family "Bacterial small subunit ribosomal RNA", at positions 507 to 807 of the family's 1533-position model. The record is from RNAcentral.
GACAGCAGUCGCCGCGGUAAUACGGAGGGUGCAAGCGUUAAUCGGAAUUACUGGGCGUAAAGCGCACGCAGGCGGUCUGACAAGUCAGAUGUGAAAUCCCCGGGCUUAACCUGGGAACUGCAUUUGAAACUGUCAGGCUGGAGUCUUGUAGAGGGGGGUGGAAUUCCAGGUGUAGCGGUGAAAUGCGUAGAGAUCUGGAGGAAUACCGGUGGCGAAGGCGGCCCCCUGGACAAAGACUGACGCUCAGGUGCGAAAGCGUGGGGAGCAAACAGGAUUAGAUACCCCUGUAGUCCCUGUCUCUUAUAC